Molecule: ribosomal RNA, 468 nt
Filed under: uncultured bacterium
Lineage: Bacteria
Description: partial 16S ribosomal RNA
Rfam family: Bacterial small subunit ribosomal RNA
Source: RNAcentral
GACGAACGCUGGCGGCGUGCUUAACACAUGCAAGUCGAACGGAAAGGCCCUGCUUUUGUGGGGUGCUCGAGUGGCGAACGGCUGAGUAACACGUGAGUAACCUGCCCUUGACUUUGGGAUAACUUCAGGAAACUGGGGCUAAUACCGGAUAGGAGCUCCUGCUGCAUGGUGGGGGUUGGAAAGUUUCGGCGGUUGGGGAUGGACUCGCGGCUUAUCAGCUUGUUGGUGGGGUAGUGGCUUACCAAGGCUUUGACGGGUAGCCGGCCUGAGAGGGUGACCGGCCACAUUGGGACUGAGAUACGGCCCAGACUCCUACGGGAGGCAGCAGUGGGGAAUAUUGCACAAUGGGCGGAAGCCUGAUGCAGCAACGCCGCGUGCGGGAUGACGGCCUUCGGGUUGUAAACCGCUUUCGCCUGUGACGAAGCGUGAGUGACGGUAAUGGGUAAAGAAGCACCGGCUAACUACGUG